UAGGGAAUCUUCCACAAUGGACGCAAGUCUGAUGGAGCAACGCCGCGUGAGUGAAGAAGGUUUUCGGAUCGUAAAGCUCUGUUGUUGGUGAAGAAGGAUAGAGGCAGUAACUGGUCUUUAUUUGACGGUAAUCAACCAGAAAGUCACGGCUAACUACGUGCCAGCAGCCGCGGUAAUACGUAGUUGGCAAGCGUUGUCCGGAUUUAUUGGGCGUAAAGCGAGCGCAGGCGGAAUGAUAAGUCUGAUGUGAAAGCCCACGGCUCAACCGUGGAACUGCAUCGGAAACUGUCAUUCUUGAGUGCAGAAGAGGAGAGUGGAAUUCCAUGUGUAGCGGUGGAAUGCGUAGAUAUAUGGAAGAACACCAGUGGCGAAGGCGGCUCUCUGGUCUGCAACUGACGCUGAGGCUCGAAAGCAUGGGUAGCGAACAGG
RNAcentral lists this ribosomal RNA (429 nucleotides) under bacterium. RNAcentral's name for it is "partial 16S ribosomal RNA". It matches the Rfam family "Bacterial small subunit ribosomal RNA", at positions 355 to 776 of the family's 1533-position model. The record is from RNAcentral.